AUGGCAGACUUGCUCCUCCUAACCCUGCUUCCCUUGGCUCUCCUCUUCCUCCUCCUCCACCAUGCAUCGCCAAUCAAAGCCCUUCUCACGAGGGCCAAGUCGGUUCUGGCACCGGAGCUCUCCACGGUGUGGAAGCCACAGCCAGCUAGCAUCUUCGUCACGGACCCCGAGACGGCGCACAGCCUUCUCGUGCGUGGCAGCGCCGCUGGCUCCUUCUCCAACCGCCCACCGUCCAUUUCUCCCAGCGCCAUCCUCUCGCGCCGUCAAUACCAGAACAUCACCUCCGCUCCCUACGGUGAGCACUGGCGCGCCAUUCGUCACAACCUCACAUCGGAGGUCCUCCACCCAACGCAGCUCCACCGGCACGCGUCAGCGCGCCGCCGUGCACUACAUGGACUCGUCGUGGACCUCGCCGAGCAGAGGAAAGACGGCGUGGUUCACGCGGCGGAGAGCAUCCGCUACGCUAUGUUUGUCCUGGUGGCCAACAUGUGUUUCGGCGACGACAUCGACAAUAACCGCGUCCGUGCCAUGGCCGACGCUCAGAGUGACCUCGUCAAGUCCCUAUCUACGGCGCGCGUGUUCGCGCACGCCAUGCUCCCCGCACUGACCAGGCUCAUUUAUCGUAAUCGGUGGAAGAAGCUAGCCGCCCUGCGACAGCAGCAGGAGCAGACGUACCUACCACUCAUCGACUCCCGUCGCGGCCGGCACCGGCGACCCAGCGAGACGCCGGUGUAUGUGGACACGCUCAUCGAUCUCAAGGUGCCGGACGACCACAGUCAGGACCCAAGGCGGCAUCGAAGAAGGCUGUCCGAUGGUGAACUCGUCGGCAUGUGCUCCUAG
This 840-nucleotide ribosomal RNA is filed under the name Triticum aestivum (bread wheat). Its description in RNAcentral is "partial small subunit ribosomal RNA". The record is from RNAcentral. Lineage: Eukaryota; Viridiplantae; Streptophyta; Magnoliopsida; Poales; Poaceae.